Daphnia magna is the source of this 3477-nucleotide long non-coding RNA. RefSeq lists it as uncharacterized. Lineage: Eukaryota; Metazoa; Arthropoda; Branchiopoda; Diplostraca; Daphniidae. The transcript has 5 exons. The record is from RefSeq and is a predicted model, not a curated record.
AAGGAUUGGCCCCCAUUUUCUUUGUUCAGUUGAGACGACGCUGGCAUCGAUUCUCUGCUGAAAAUUGCUCGUUGCCAACGAGUUGUGCAUCCAUUUCGCAGUGAUUGCAGUUCGUCGGUGUCAUAUAAACGUGUUGUGUGUCCAGAACGGCCGUUCUUCGUAAGAGGAUAUGGCCCAAAGGCUUGACACAGUUCUCUACCUGGCCGCCAGAGAGCGUUGCAGCACAGUACAGGUUCUUGUGCGAAAGACGAAAAUGAGAUCCCCUUGAAAACAAAUGAAACGUUGGCGUGUGUGUGUGUGUGUGAGUAACUAAUGAGCAGAAGAAAUGCCAUCAAGGAUUCACGUCUCAUCGCGUGGACAACUGUCGAGAGACAAGUUGAAACCAACUGGAUUUGUUUGGUUUUGCGCAGAAUCAUUGCGAGGCCGUAGCAACUGAAAUCCGGAUUUCGCAUUUCAACGCCAUCUUAAAUCGUCUUUCUUCUUUAAUCCCGAAACGCUUAAAAGCCUUCUGGUCAGCAGCUUAUCCAUCAAUUCUUUAGUAUAUACCAUAAAGGUCGGUGCAUAUAGAGUUGUGUAUAGGCCUCUAUAUUAUAUCUACACGAUAUUAUUCGUGUACGUCUAUGUAUAAUACGCCACACAAUUUAUUUAUUCCACAGUAGCCGAGGCCAGUGUUGAAUCAUGGCCGAGCGUAAUUUACCGACGUCCGUCAUUCUCCCCCCUCCAACCGAAAAAUCCUGAGUCGAGUUUCCUCUUUGAUGGAUCGAUCGGAAUCUUUUCUCCCCCCGUUUUCCAUGGCGCACGACAGACGCCAGUUAAAUGCUGCAUUGGAACGCGCCUCUGGAUCAUCAGACAUCAUCAUUUUUUGUUUUGUUUUCAUCAAAGAGAUGGGCCAAAUUCAUUCUCCAACUGGUGUUACACGAUUCCGUAUCGAUAUAAUUACUCAGUGUGAGCGUUUGCCUUUUUGUUUUUAUGGAUAGAGCUUCCGUCAUCCGCCGGCACGGAUCCUCACCAUUUUCGAAUCUUUCACUGUCUCUCGGCUUCUUGACUGGGGUUUUUUUUAACGAUUCAACGAAGGUGAUUUUCAUUUUGAAAUUGUAUUCCUCCUACCUGACGUUGACUCUUGCCCCCGCUGCACGUAAACAUCAAACAGAAGGAGAUCUACACUUAACGCUGAAUGCGAUUCCAACGAAACCGCUGCUUGAGUAUUUCGAUUAAACAACGAAAACAUUUCGAAAAAAAACAGGCAAUGUUUAAGAAGAAACGAUUAGGAAAAAGAGGAGUGAAGCUAAAUAGCUAGAGGAGCCGUUGCGGGACGGUUGGUCCUUUUGAAACGCGAUGCGACCAGCAAUUCAACGAGGAACAUCAUCAAAGAGAAGCUGCAGCCCAGGCCGAGGACGAUGAAUGAUCCAGCCAUGUCGUAAAGGGUCAACUGGCUCGUCUUUGGUCGAUACACUUGUCUAGCCAAACAUUUGUCGAUCGACUUCAAGUAGCCGCUGGUGAUUCGCGAAUAGAGGCCCGUUUGUCGCAUCUGUUGAAGCCUAUCGCGCCGACAUGUUUAUUUCAAGCUAAAGAUGGGCCAGGUGUUUGGCUACGCCGAAGCUCCACACUUGCGAGUAAUCGAGUUCUUUUCCGAUAGUCAGACGGCAUUCUCCCUUGUGUUCCAUCAUGCUCUUGUACACGAGCACUUCUCCCAAUCUCUUUACCUGGAAAAAAAUCAAAUAAGAUCUCGUAAGUUAAAUGGUUUCUUGUUGUUCCAGAUUCAACCGACUUCGACGUAAGCGCAACAUCCGGAAUGCAAGACUUUGUCCAGUUCUCCAGAAAUGCUUCCUCGAGGUGCGGUCACUCGCAAACUCUUACUGGCCGCAAGGUCGUCCCAGGUGUUGACGACCGGUUCGUAUUUGGACAGCGAAAUGUAAGAGACCAGAGUGCUGUUGUAGGCGUAGACGAGGACGAAAGCGAUGAGACACCAAGAACCAGCCGCAAAACGCAUCGAUAAACGGCUGGACGGCAUGUGACCUCCUGUGAUCAGCCGAUUGUUUUUAAUAAUUGGCGUGAAAAAAAAUUUAAUAAAAAAAAUGUUCGCUAGACGCUGUACACCUUGCGACAUGAUGACAACGAGCGCAUACCAGGCGUUGUCCGUGAACAGCUGUACGUUGGUCUGUCCUCUUCUUUGAACGGCCGGCCCAGCCGAUCUUCUAAUCACGCUCAAGAUGAGCGCCGUAGCAGCGAACGCUACGAUAAUCAGGUACCACACCUUUCGUGAAUUAUGAACUAUGAAUUUGUGUUUUUGGCUAUUGAUUGGGGCUGUAGUCUACCGUUGGCUGGAACGGUUUGAUGGGCGCCAGGAAACGGUUGUGGAUCUGCGGCAUCGGCUGGAUCAUUGCAAACGUGAAAACGGAAACAGCGGUCGUGAAAUCCAUGUAGGCCAGACGCUCGGCAGUGGGCGUGAUUAGCCUGCCGUUUACAUCAGCGUUCUUGUUACGAAUUAUUGCGAUAUGUGCGAAAAGAGGAGAGAAAUAACCAUUUAAUAAGUUAGCAAUCAUUCGCUAUUGGAUGGUGAUUACCUUUUGUACGAGCUGGUCGAUCAUUGCAGCGUCGAUCGAUCCUAUUCGCUUCACCAUGGUCGGCGUGACUUCCACGAACGAAUACCUGCUCAAUCAUUCAUCGCAGUACUCUAGUGUUAUUACGACGCUUUAAUAUAUAAUAUAUGUAUUCUAGUUUUAGCAAUUAAGUUUAGAAGAGAUCAGAAACUGACGUAAAGUUCAUCGAGUUGGACAAGAGAUUGAAAACUUCUUUGGGGAAACCAACGUAACGGACGAGACUCUCGUUGGCUGGAUUUCGGAUGAUGGAGAAAAUGGGUGGCUCCUUCAAUUUCAAACGUGAACACGUCAGAUGCUAUCGUUUGAAUUUUAAAUUUAUUCAGGUAAAAAUUAAAUAAAAAAACAACUUACGUGAUAAGCGACGAUCCUCAAAUGCACCCCGGUCAUGGCUUUCAUUUGUUUUCGUCCCUUGUUGUUUCCUUCGCAUUCGGCUGAUAAGAAGAAGACUAUCAGCGUCGCAGCAAAUAAGGCCUGGAUACAUUUCAUGGUGAUGAUCUGCUUGGUUAUCAAACGUCUUUUGUUGAUGAGUGUCUCUGUCCAAUUUGUGAACGGAAGUGCUCGUCGCAUGGCUCUUAAAUAGCGGACACGAGAGAGUUCUAACACGUGACUGUUAUGUGGUUUGCAAUAAUCACGCCUGUGCAGAGUUGGAUUUCAUAUCGAAAUUCAGGUUGACCUUGUGCAGCACUUCGAACGCAGUUUGACGAAAUUGUUUGAUUUGACAUGUUACAAAUUUUAUUGAUAGCAAUUGCCUUUGAAUUUACUCCAGUCGUGAUGGCUGAUUGUUAUGACGACGGCUUUCCAGCUUUCACUCACUUCGUUAUUAAUGGAUUGCAUUCUACACAAGUAUCGAAAUAAAGGUCACAGCUGUCGCAAUAAA